AGUGUCCUCUGGGAGGGUGUCCUGCGGGAGGAUCGGCACGUGUCCCCUCGAGCUUUGCCCGCCCCGAGCUCAGCUGCUCCCGGCGGCCAGAACGUAGGGGUAGAGCAGUCCUCGGUGGCCCGUGGGGCGGGCGGCCGUGCCCAGCCCGGGGCCGCGCGAGACACAAUGUCCCCUGCGCUGUCCUGCCCGGGCGCCCUCACCACCGCCCUUUUCUUCUCCGCAGACCGACCUUCCGGUGCCGAUCCCCAGGACUCAGUCGUGCGGCCGCCUCGGACCCAGGCGCAGGCUGAAAACUACAAGAAAGAAACUAGUGAGCAGAAUGCCUUGAAGUCGGCUCCAAGGGGGUAAUGCCUCCAAGGUGAAGUAGGCUGGCCCACGUCCCGCCUUGGUAUUAGGGCGUGGUAGCAGAUUCAUUCUCACUUUGUUGCCGAGAUAGGUGCUGAAGUCCCAUUUUACAGAUAGAGAAUGAGGGCCCUGUGAGAGGAUUCCUGAGUAGUCUUGUAGUAAUUGAUUGCACUGAAGGUAGUCUCCCCCAAAUUAUCAAUAUGUUAGGUGGUGGUUCGAUUGAUGUUUCUCUAUGCCUGGCUGCCCUAGAACUCAGUGUCCCACUUCUGCCAAGGUGCGACCAAAAGGGAGAUUUGCUAGAUCAUUAGAAUGUGUUGGUAUAGGGGGUGGUUCUUGUAGCCCCGUUGCAUGCUAGGACAAGUUCUUUGCUAGGGCCUAGUCAAGAGCCUUCAGUCAAGAUGUUAUUAACCGGUAUAUUGCUGCAUAUCACUCAUUUUCCAGAAUCUUCAAUAAAAGCUUUUCCUGUGUCAAUCCCAUAA
Peromyscus eremicus (cactus mouse) is the source of this 824-nucleotide long non-coding RNA. RefSeq lists it as uncharacterized. The record is from RefSeq and is a predicted model, not a curated record. NCBI's taxonomy places the organism in Eukaryota, Metazoa, Chordata, Mammalia, Rodentia, Cricetidae. The transcript is spliced from 2 exons.